UAACGGAGUGGCAGACGGGUGAGUAACACGUGGGAACGUACCCUUCGGUUCGGAAUAACUCAGGGAAACUUGAGCUAAUACCGGAUACGUCCGAGAGGAGAAAGAUUUAUCGCCGAAGGAUCGGCCCGCGUCUGAUUAGCUUGUUGGUGAGGUAACGGCUCACCAAGGCGACGAUCAGUAGCUGGUCUGAGAGGAUGAUCAGCCACAUUGGGACUGAGACACGGCCCAA
RNAcentral lists this ribosomal RNA (229 nucleotides) under uncultured bacterium. RNAcentral describes it as "partial 16S ribosomal RNA". It matches the Rfam family "Bacterial small subunit ribosomal RNA", at positions 88 to 334 of the family's 1533-position model. The record is from RNAcentral.